AACCCCGGCUGGGCGGGGGAGAGGAAGGGGCGGGGCAGGGAGCCCGCCAGAGUGCGGAGUCGCGGUCCGGACCCGGAGCACGAGCCCUAAAGACGCUCAGCACUCGUCGCUUCUCCUAGCAGACCCCGCCCGGCCUGGCGAUGGAGUUUCCGGACCUCGGGGCUCACUGUUCGGAGCCGAGCUGUCAGCGCUUGGAUUUUCUGCCGCUUAAGUGUGAUGCCUGCUCAGGCAUCUUCUGCGCAGACCAUGUGGCCUACGCCCAGCAUCACUGUGGAUCUGCUUACCAAAAGGAUAUCCAGGUACCUGUGUGCCCUCUCUGUAAUGUGCCUGUGCCUGUGGCCAGAGGGGAGCCCCCUGACCGUGCUGUGGGAGAGCACAUUGACAGAGACUGUCGCUCUGAUCCAGCACAGCAAAAACAUCUUCACCAAUAAGUGCGAGCGCGCUGGCUGCCGGCAGCGAGAAAUGAUGAAACUGACCUGUGAACGCUGUAGCCGAAACUUCUGCAUCAAGCACCGGCACCCACUGGACCAUGAU
This 534-nucleotide small RNA is filed under the name Pongo abelii (Sumatran orangutan). RNAcentral's name for it is "processed transcript". Lineage: Eukaryota; Metazoa; Chordata; Mammalia; Primates; Hominidae. The record is from RNAcentral.